RNAcentral lists this long non-coding RNA (783 nucleotides) under Equus caballus (horse). RNAcentral's name for it is "lncRNA (ENSECAG00000029298.2)". The record is from RNAcentral. Lineage: Eukaryota; Metazoa; Chordata; Mammalia; Perissodactyla; Equidae.
GAAAUUGUUUUUGCUAAUAAGACAAAAAUAGAAAGUCAUUUUCAUGAAGGAAACAUGAAAACACUGGGGAAAUAAGUGAUGCGAACAUUAUGCGUACACAGCAUCUCAUCUGGGUUUCCUGAUGAGGGAAUUUUAAAUUUUUAAAAGAAGCAAGUCUUCUCUGAACUUCAAAAAUUCCUCUGGAAGUUUUACCAACGUCGCAAAAAGAUUUGAAGAACUAAGAAAGAUGAGACACAUGAGAAAUAAGAAAGAAAACUCAGGUGGCCAGCGCUAUGGGAAAGGAGGCCAGGUCCCUGAGAGGACUGAUAAUGUGGUGGACUAGAGGACAGCUGGUGGAUUUAAUGCAGGAGGAAUCGAGGGUACCUGUGGAGAGGGAAGAUACAACUUUCAGGUUUGCAACCAGUCUGGCAAUUAUUUUUAUAUGGCAUAAGAAUUAAACAAUUAAUGAAAUGGAUUGUGGAUGGCAGGAACAGAUUUCUCACUACUGGAAUGGAAGAUUAAAGAUAAGCAAGAGGAAGAAGCUAGAAUAAUCUAUGCAGUAAUGGAUUAGAGUUGGAAACAUCAGUAUGAACUUGUGUUUGGAUUAAUACCAAUACAGCUGUGUGCUCCAGUUUCUUCGUUCCAUUAUCCAUUUGGCUUCCUGCUGCCCACCUUGGAUUCUCUACUCCAGUUUGCAUCUUAGAUCUCAACCCCUGGCUGAGACGGCACUCCAGCUGCGGGGAAAGGAUUGCCUCUGGAACCUUUCCAUAGGAAGUCUUCUCUAACUGACCCUGUCUCUACCCG